UUUGCAUAGUUUAUGAAUUCUACUUAGUAGGGACCUAAACACAGGAAUGGUUUUUCUCAGAGUCAGACCACGCCACGCCUUAUGACGAAAGGGGGAGAAAGGACGGAUCACCCGUCAAUCUGUGUUCAAACAAAACUAUACCUGAAGAAUGGGAUACAGAUUGACCGGCACAAAAGCCAUCUCUAUCAAUCUAUGCUCAUGGAUGAGACGGCAACAUAGAGAAGAAAGUAUAUCGUUUGCCACUCCUCGUGUCACUUAAAAGUAAAGAAGAGAUACACACUUUGGAAUCCAAAUUUGGUGGGAUCGAGGAUGGAAUCAAAUAGCGAAUGCACUUGCUUGCGGUUAAGACAGGUCCUGCAUCUCCUACCUAAUGCAAUUUACAGACCCGGCAUCUCUUUCGUUCAAUAAUGCCUUCGCUUCAAGACGCUAUUUACCAAUAAGAAUAGGAAAAAGACACUACCUUUUUGAAUUGAAGAAGUCGAAGUGGUGAGCUCGUCUUGCUUGUUGGGAGAGAGGAAGCUUCCGGACCCCCUUUUCCAGCCAGAUAAUGAGCGAUCACUCAGCAAUG
This 568-nucleotide long non-coding RNA is filed under the name Amborella trichopoda. Its description in RNAcentral is "long non-coding RNA (ATRI_LNC005346)". Lineage: Eukaryota; Viridiplantae; Streptophyta; Magnoliopsida; Amborellales; Amborellaceae. The record is from RNAcentral.